UGGGGAAUAUUGGACAAUGGGCGCAAGCCUGAUCCAGCCAUACCGCGUGGGUGAAGAAGGCCUUCGGGUUGUAAAGCCCUUUUGUUGGGAAAGAAAUCCAGCUGGUUAAUACCCGGUUGGGAUGACGGUACCCAAAGAAUAAGCACCGGCUAACUUCGUGCCAGCAGCCGCGGUAAUACGAAGGGUGCAAGCGUUACUCGGAAUUACUGGGCGUAAAGCGUGCGUAGGUGGUCGUUUAAGUCUGUUGUGAAAGCCCUGGGCUCAACCUGGGAACUGCAGUGGAAACUGGACGACUAGAGUGUGGUAGAGGGUAGCGGAAUUCCUGGUGUAGCAGUGAAAUGCGUAGAGAUCAGGAGGAACAUCCAUGGCGAAGGCAGCUACCUGGACCAACACUGACACUGAGGCACGAAAGCGUGGGGAGCAAACAGGAUUAGAUACCCUGGUAGUCCACGCCCUAAACGAUGCGAACUGGAUGUUGGGUGCAAUUUGGCACGCAGUAUCGAAGCUAACGCGUUAAGUUCGCCGCCUGGGGAGUACGGUCGCAAGACUG
RNAcentral lists this ribosomal RNA (550 nucleotides) under uncultured bacterium. Its description in RNAcentral is "partial 16S ribosomal RNA". It matches the Rfam family "Bacterial small subunit ribosomal RNA", at positions 355 to 896 of the family's 1533-position model. The record is from RNAcentral.